UAAGACGGAGUCUCACUCUGUCACCCAGUCUGAAGUGCAGUGGUGUGAUCUCGGCUCACUGCAACCUCCGCCUCCCAGGUUCAGGCUAUUCUCUUGCCUCAGCCUCCCUAGCAGCUGGGACUACCGGUAUGCGCCACCACGCCCAGCUAAUUUUUGUAUUUUGAGUAGAGUCAGGGUUUCACUAUGUUGACCAGGCUGGUCUUGAACUCCUGACCUCAAGGAUCCACCCACCUUGGCCUCCCAAAGUGCUGGGAUUACAGGUAUGAGCCACCACACCUGGUCUCUUCUGGUUUAAAAAAGCAAAACAAACAAAACCUAAAAGCAGAUUUAAAUCCUCUAAUCCUGAAAAAGUCACCCCAUACCAAUUUAACUGUAAGAAAGUUUCCCUUUGCGAAGAAAGUAUCCCAUCUGAGACUCAGAGUGGCCAGCCCAGAUAAUGCUAAGACCCUUUAUGGCUCCAAAUCCUCCCAUUCAAAGACCAGAUGAGAGUGGAAGAUAGGAGAGGGAGAAUAAUGGAAUAAUUCAAACCAAUGUGGAUUUUAAAUUUGUUUCGAGGAUUUAUUUAAGGGUGUUUUCUCCUCCUCUAUGUUUUUCUAGAUGAUUACUAUCUUCAAGGAAAAUGUGAUUGCAUCCUCCAGAUCAAAGAUACUGAAACUGGAUGCUUAUAAAGAAGAUUUUAGGCACAUAAAGGUUAUGGCAUCUGUGGUUCUACAAUGAAAAAUGCAACCUGUUCUGUCUGAGAAGGAAAGGGAGCAAGAAUCUCCCGUGCAAGUCUGGCGUUCAGUUCUAGCAGAGGGAGUCACCAGCUGGAGAAGAAAUGCAACAAUUGUCCACCCCCACAUAUCCUAUGGCUGUGUCUUUUUUUUAUUACAGUGGACACUGCAGUGAGGGACACCCACUCUCAUGGUGGAAAACGAGCCAGCUAAUUUAAUAUCACCAUGAAGGAAACUGCUACUAAUCUAGGCAUGGAAGUAAAUCAACAGUGGAUCCUGAAAGCUAGGAAAAGAGAGCUAAGUUAAGCAAGAAUGGCCAAGGCAGCGGGAACAGUGUAUGUUUUAAACUUCAGGUUUUGUUAGCAAGACUUUUGUCCUCUUUUAAUAGUUAACCUGACCCCAGCUCAAGAAUCCAAGAUACUGAGUAGUCUAUUGUGCACCUGCAGAAAACUUUCAAACCCUUAAUGACUUAUAAUCUUGGUUUCAGCAAUCAUCUCAGUAAUUCUGGUAUGACUCUCCUCCCUCACAGCUCUCAGAUGCUCCAGACCCACCUACAGCUCAUCUCCAGCAGGAGAUCUUGGGUUUUACGAUUUUAAAACGUAGCUUGAAAAAGUCUCCAUCUUAUCUCGGAGCAGAAGUGGUGUCACUUGCCAGCCCAAAUAUUCUAGUAAGUUUCUCCCUCACUCAGCUGCCACCACUCUUUUGUGCAGCCCAGCCAGGCUCCCUCACAUAUGCAUGGAGCAGAGCCUCGGGGUGGCAACCCAAACUGAGUGUUCAGAUCCAUCAGCAGGAACCAGCUGAGAGACUAGCAGCUUGCCCCCAGGAAUGAUAGCAACCAGCCUUCUCCUGGUAUGCCCUGGUUCUUGGGCCAAACAUGGACCUGUCCCUGCAGACACUGUGUGGUCCUCGCUGACUCCAAAUUCUCCUAAAUGCAGCCUCCGUGGAGCCUGUGAUACGGCACAUGAGCCUGGGAGUAAGAGGGAGGCUUCGCCCGGUGUAACCUCAGAGCACGUGUCGUUUAUUUUUAGGCCUGGAGUAAAGGGCCUGGGUAAGGGAGGAACUUCAAAAGGUGAGAUUUCUGUCAUUGGAAUAGUUUUACAAUGUAAUGAAAACAAAGAGAUGGCUCUUAGAGGGUGUGGGUGGAAGCAAAGCCAAGUUCUAGCCCUGCAGUGGCUCUCC
Molecule: long non-coding RNA, 1892 nt
Filed under: Homo sapiens (human)
Lineage: Eukaryota; Metazoa; Chordata; Mammalia; Primates; Hominidae
Description: HSALNT0169190
Source: RNAcentral